Aquila chrysaetos chrysaetos is the source of this 537-nucleotide long non-coding RNA. RefSeq lists it as uncharacterized. NCBI's taxonomy places the organism in Eukaryota, Metazoa, Chordata, Aves, Accipitriformes, Accipitridae. The record is from RefSeq and is a predicted model, not a curated record. The transcript has 3 exons.
GACUGGAAGCGUGAGUUACAGGGCAAAACUCAGAAAGAAAAAGCAUAGGAAGGGGCUAAUCUCAGUAUACGGUUUUAGCGAAGCAUCAAGCAAAGAACGACCAAAUGUUCCUCUCGUCUGGGAAUUUUGCAGGCUGGCUUUGGGUAGAGUAUUUAUCUAACUUGCUUUUUCCCAUGUGAAAUGGGAAUACUGCUUCAGGGGAUAGCUUUUACCUCUCAAGAACUGAGAAACCUUCUGUUCAAAGUGACAAAAGCCUGGAGUCCUGAUCCUCUUCCAGCACCGUACCCGGUUGACGGCUCCCGGUGAGGCCCAGCAUUCCGGCAGAGCCACAGCGGUGGCGGAGAGCGGCGGUGGACGACGACGUUCGCCUGGGUUGCUGCCGCGCUUCUAUAGCGUAAUGCACCAAAAUAAACCCCUGCGAGGUCCCACCCAGCGGGGCCCGAUCCUGCCGCUGACGAACCGCAGGAGACUGCUUUGACGAGAGGCUGAGCUGCUUUCCCCCCCCCCCCCCCAGACCCCCCAAAAAACGACGUGAAG